AGCUUUUCGAAUCCGUGCUGAGAUUUCGUCAGAUACCAACCCAUUAGGGCUGAUCAGAAUCCCAAGAUAUGUGAAGUU
Molecule: non-coding RNA, 78 nt
Organism: Schistosoma mattheei
Lineage: Eukaryota; Metazoa; Platyhelminthes; Trematoda; Strigeidida; Schistosomatidae
Source: Rfam